Molecule: ribosomal RNA, 640 nt
Filed under: uncultured Thiobacillus sp.
Lineage: Bacteria; Pseudomonadati; Pseudomonadota; Betaproteobacteria; Nitrosomonadales; Thiobacillaceae
Description: bacterial SSU rRNA
Rfam family: Bacterial small subunit ribosomal RNA
Source: RNAcentral
GAGUUUGAUCCUGGCUCAGAUUGAACGCUGGCGGAAUGCUUUACACAUGCAAGUCGAACGGCAGCACGGGAGCUUGCUCCUGGUGGCGAGUGGCGAACGGGUGAGUAAUGCGUCGGAACGUACCGAGUAAUGGGGGAUAACGCACCGAAAGGUGUGCUAAUACCGCAUACGCCCUGAGGGGGAAAGCAGGGGAUCGUAAGACCUUGCGUUAUUCGAGCGGCCGACGUCUGAUUAGCUAGUUGGUGGGGUAAAGGCCUACCAAGGCGACGAUCAGUAGCGGGUCUGAGAGGAUGAUCCGCCACACUGGAACUGAGACACGGUCCAGACUCCUACGGGAGGCAGCAGUGGGGAAUUUUGGACAAUGGGGGCAACCCUGAUCCAGCCAUUCCGCGUGAGUGAAGAAGGCCUUCGGGUUGUAAAGCUCUUUCAGCUGGAACGAAACGGUACGCUCUAACAUAGCGUGCUAAUGACGGUACCAGCAGAAGAAGCACCGGCUAACUACGUGCCAGCAGCCGCGGUAAUACGUAGGGUGCGAGCGUUAAUCGGAAUUACUGGGCGUAAAGCGUGCGCAGGCGGAUUGUUAAGCAAGACGUGAAAUCCCCGGGCUUAACCUGGGAAUGGCGUUUUGAACUGGCAGUCU